RNAcentral lists this ribosomal RNA (497 nucleotides) under uncultured bacterium. RNAcentral's name for it is "partial 16S ribosomal RNA". It matches the Rfam family "Bacterial small subunit ribosomal RNA", at positions 28 to 507 of the family's 1533-position model. The record is from RNAcentral.
GAUGAACGCUGGCGGCGUGCCUAAUACAUGCAAGUCGAGCGAACGGACGAGAAGCUUGCUUCUCUGAUGUUAGCGGCGGACGGGUGAGUAACACGUGGAUAACCUACCUAUAAGACUGGGAUAACUUCGGAAAACCGGAGCUAAUACCGGAUAAUAUUUUGAACCGCAUGGUUCAAAAGUGAAAGACGGUCUUGCUGUCACUUAUAGAUGGAUCCGCGCUGCAUUAGCUAGUUGGUAAGGUAACGGCUUACCAAGGCAACGAUGCAUAGCCGACCUGAGAGGGUGAUUGGCCACACUGGAACUGAGACACGGUCCAGACUCCUACGGGAGGCAGCAGUAGGGAAUCUUCCGCAAUGGGCGAAAGCCUGACGGAGCAACGCCGCGUGAGUGAUGAAGGUCUUCGGAUCGUAAAACUCUGUUAUUAGGGAAGAACAUAUGUGUAAGUAACUGUGCACAUCUUGACGGUACCUAAUCAGAAAGCCACGGCUAACUACGUG